CGUGAGCGCUGUUGGCUCUUCAUCGCCUUUUCCCGAUGCCGUUGCCUUUUCUUUUUGAUUUGUUUGAUUUUUGCCCCCCCCCCCCCUUCAUCGGGAGAGUGCGUGUGUGUGUGUGUGUCUGUGGUAGCAGGAGGGGGUACUUUAGCUUUCUAUCGUCCCUCUCCCUCGGUGUUUCUUGUCUGGUUUAUCGUCCGUCGCCUCCAUGAUGACCUGUGGUCGCGUUACCGUUGACGAGGCCAUCGUAGCACUUUCCCCGGAGCUAACGUUACGCGCCUAUGAUUGUAACUGAGCCACCCCUUGUGCGUCCUCUCUGGCUCCUCCCUCUGUUUGGUUUGGUAGUGCCUUGUGCCCCUUCGCUCUUCUCGUGCCCGUCUCCUGCUUUUCUGUGCGCAUUCAUCCCCGUGGUGGCCUUUGCCUUCACCUCUUCUCUCGCAUGGCGUUUCAGCGUUUCACGGUUGCUCUCUCUUUUUUUCCUCAUUGCUCGCCUUUCGCCAUCGGUAAGCGGUAGCCGUUCACAGGUUUGUUGUCUGUCGUCGAUUGAAACGCGCGACCCACCCAGAGGUGCGCAUGUCCGUGUGUGAGCGCCGCCCAGUGCAUGAGGGAGCUGCCGGUGCGCCAGUGCGUAUUCAACGCACGAAACGAAGAAAUCCAGGGGCAAAGAGGAAAAAAAAAAAGACACUCGUUGUGGCGUGCCGCACCUUCUAUUUCCUGCUCUGUAGGUGACCGCUGCCCCGACCAGCCCGACCAUGCGCAGCCUCUUCUCCCCCUUUUGCGUGCACGACGGAACUUUCGAGGCUGCGCCACAUAACAAACAAAGAGAAAGAACAGACUUACAAGGCCACCCCUUUCAGCGCUACUGCUGUCGCUGCAGCAAGUCGCGCUCUUUUCGUUUAUCACGCUAGCCUUUCCUCCUCGACCUGGUGCCAUCUCACGUGCUUUCUGAAACACGCAAG
Molecule: unclassified non-coding RNA, 953 nt
Filed under: Leishmania donovani
Lineage: Eukaryota; Euglenozoa; Kinetoplastea; Trypanosomatida; Trypanosomatidae
Description: gene:unknown
Source: RNAcentral